UAAAGAAAGCGUAAUAGCUCACUGGUCGAGUCGGCCUGCGCGGAAGAUGUAACGGGGCUAAACCAUGCACCGAAGCUGCGGCAGCGACGCUUAUGCGUUGUUGGGUAGGGGAGCGUUCUGUAAGCCUGUGAAGGUGUGCUGUGAGGCAUGCUGGAGGUAUCAGAAGUGCGAAUGCUGACAUAAGUAACGAUAAAGCGGGUGAAAAGCCCGCUCGCCGGAAGAC
This 223-nucleotide ribosomal RNA is filed under the name Escherichia coli. RNAcentral's name for it is "partial 23S ribosomal RNA". It matches the Rfam family "Bacterial large subunit ribosomal RNA", at positions 1124 to 1345 of the family's 2925-position model. Lineage: Bacteria; Pseudomonadati; Pseudomonadota; Gammaproteobacteria; Enterobacterales; Enterobacteriaceae. The record is from RNAcentral.